AUUGAACGCUGGCGGCAGGCCUAACACAUGCAAGUCGAGCGGCAGCGGAAGGAAGCUUGCUUCCUUGCCGGCGAGCGGCGGACGGGUGAGUAAUGUCUGGGGAUCUGCCCGAUGGAGGGGGAUAACUACUGGAAACGGUAGCUAAUACCGCAUAACGUCGCAAGACCAAAGUGGGGGACCUUCGGGCCUCACACCAUCGGAUGAACCCAGAUGGGAUUAGCUAGUAGGCGGGGUAAAGGCCCACCUAGGCGACGAUCUCUAGCUGGUCUGAGAGGAUGACCAGCCACACUGGAACUGAGACACGGUCCAGACUCCUACGGGAGGCAGCAGUGGGGAAUAUUGCACAAUGGGGGAAACCCUGAUGCAGCCAUGCCGCGUGUAUGAAGAAGGCCUUCGGGUUGUAAAGUACUUUCAGCGGGGAGGAAGGCAGUGAACUUAAUACGUUCGCUGAUUGACGUUACCCGCAGAAGAAGCACCGGCUAACUCCGUGCCAGCCGCCGCCGUAACAC
This 509-nucleotide ribosomal RNA is filed under the name uncultured bacterium. RNAcentral describes it as "bacterial SSU rRNA". It matches the Rfam family "Bacterial small subunit ribosomal RNA", at positions 29 to 526 of the family's 1533-position model. The record is from RNAcentral.